UACGUAGGGGGCUAGCGUUGUCCGGAAUCAUUGGGCGUAAAGCGCGUGUAGGCGGUCCGGUAAGUCCGCUGUGAAAGUCGGGGGCUCAACCCUCGGAUGCCGGUGGAUACUGUCGGGCUUGAGUACGGAAGAGGCGAGUGGAAUUCCUGGUGUAGCGGUGAAAUGCGCAGAUAUCAGGAGGAACACCGGUGGCGAAGGCGGGUCUCUGGGCCGAAACUGACGCUGAGGAGCGAAAGCGUGGGGAGCAAACAGG
This 253-nucleotide ribosomal RNA is filed under the name uncultured bacterium. RNAcentral's name for it is "partial 16S ribosomal RNA". It matches the Rfam family "Bacterial small subunit ribosomal RNA", at positions 524 to 776 of the family's 1533-position model. The record is from RNAcentral.